RNAcentral lists this ribosomal RNA (710 nucleotides) under bacterium Co.J7BB. RNAcentral describes it as "bacterial SSU rRNA". It matches the Rfam family "Bacterial small subunit ribosomal RNA", at positions 66 to 760 of the family's 1533-position model. The record is from RNAcentral.
GGACAGAAGGGAGCUUGCUCCCGGAUGUUAGCGGCGNCCNNUANNAGUAACACGUGGGUAACCUGCCUGUAAGACUGGGAUAACUCCGGGAAACCGGAGCUAAUACCGGAUAGUUCCUUGAACCGCAUGGUUCAAGGAUGAAAGACGGUUUCGGCUGUCACUUACAGAUGGACCCGCGGCGCAUUAGCUAGUUGGUGGGGUAAUGGCUCACCAAGGCGACGAUGCGUAGCCGACCUGAGAGGGUGAUCGGCCACACUGGGACUGAGACACGGCCCAGACUCCUACGGGAGGCAGCAGUAGGGAAUCUUCCGCAAUGGACGAAAGUCUGACGGAGCANCGCCGCGUGAGUGAUGAAGGUUUUCGGAUCGUAAAGCUCUGUUGUUAGGGAAGAACAAGUGCGAGAGUAACUGCUCGCACCUUGACGGUACCUAACCAGAAAGCCACGGNUAACUACGUGCCAGCAGCCGCGGUAAUACGUAGGUGGCAAGCGUUGUCCGGAAUUAUUGGGCGUAAAGGGCUCGCAGGCGGUUUCUUAAGUCUGAUGUGAAAGCCCCCGGCUCAACCGGGGAGGGUCAUUGGAAACUGGGAAACUUGAGUGCAGAAGAGGAGAGUGGAAUUCCACGUGUAGCGGUGAAAUGCGUAGAGAUGUGGAGGAACACCAGUGGCGAAGGCGACUCUCUGGUCUGUAACUGACGCUGAGGAGCGAAAGC